This 245-nucleotide ribosomal RNA is filed under the name uncultured bacterium. RNAcentral's name for it is "partial 16S ribosomal RNA". It matches the Rfam family "Bacterial small subunit ribosomal RNA", at positions 524 to 768 of the family's 1533-position model. The record is from RNAcentral.
AACGUAGGAGGCGAGCGUUAUCCGGAUUUACUGGGCGUAAAGCGCACGCAGGCGGGCUGGUCAGUCGGACGUGAAAGCUCCUGGCUUAACUGGGAGAGGCCGUCCGAAACUGCCAGGCUUGAGGUAGGGAGAGGGGUGUGGAAUUCCCGGUGUAGUGGUGGAAUGCGUAGAUAUCGGGAGGAACACCAGUGGCGAAGGCGGCACCCUGGCCCUCACCUGACGCUGAGGUGCGAAAGCGUGGGUAG